RNAcentral lists this ribosomal RNA (301 nucleotides) under uncultured bacterium. Its description in RNAcentral is "partial 16S ribosomal RNA". It matches the Rfam family "Bacterial small subunit ribosomal RNA", at positions 509 to 807 of the family's 1533-position model. The record is from RNAcentral.
CAGCAGCCGCGGGAAUACGUAGGUGGCAAGCGUUGUCCGGAAUUAUUGGGCGUAAAGGGCUCGCAGGCGGUUUCUUAAGUCUGAUGUGAAAGCCCCCGGCUCAACCGGGGAGGGUCAUUGGAAACUGGGAAACUUGAGUGCAGAAGAGGAGAGUGGAAUUCCACGCGUAGUGGUGAAAUGCGUAGAGAUGUGGAGGAACACCAGUGGCGAAGGCGACUCUCUGGUCUGUAACUGACGCUGAGGAGCGAAAGCGUGGGGAGCGAACAGGAUUAGAUACCCCUGUAGUCCCUGUCUCUUAUAC